RNAcentral lists this ribosomal RNA (1510 nucleotides) under metagenome. RNAcentral's name for it is "bacterial LSU rRNA". It matches the Rfam family "Bacterial large subunit ribosomal RNA", at positions 1434 to 2925 of the family's 2925-position model. The record is from RNAcentral.
CAUUCCUGUACUUCUGGUUAUUGCGAUGGAGGGACGGAGAAGGCUAGGCCAGCUUGGCGUUGGUUGUCCAAGUUUAAGGUGGUAGGCUGGAAUCUUAGGUAAAUCCGGGAUUCUAAGGCCGAGAGCUGAUGACGAGUUACCCUUUGGGUGACGAAGUGGUUGAUGCCAUGCUUCCAAGAAAAGCUUCUAAGCUUCAGGUAACCAGGAACCGUACCCCAAACCGACACAGGUGGUUGGGUAGAGAAUACCAAGGCGCUUGAGAGAACUCGGGUGAAGGAACUAGGCAAAAUGGCACCGUAACUUCGGAGAAGGUGCGCCGGUGAGGGUGAAGGACUUGUUCCGUAAGCCCACGCCGGUCGAAGAUACCAGGCCGCUGCGACUGUUUAUUAAAAACACAGCACUCUGCAAACACGAAAGUGGACGUAUAGGGUGUGACGCCUCCCCGGUGCCGGAAGGUUAAUUGAUGGGGUUAGCUAACGCGAAGCUCUUGAUCGAAGCCCCGGUAAACGGCGGCCGUAACGAUAACGGUCCUAAGGUAGCGAAAUUCCUUGUCGGGUAAGUUCCGACCUGCACGAAUGGCGUAACGAUGGCGGCGCUGUCUCCACCCGAGACUCAGUGAAAUUGAAAUCGCUGUGAAGAUGCAGUGUAUCCGCGGCUAGACGGAAAGACCCCGUGAACCUUUACUAUAGCUUUGCACUGGACUUUGAAUUUGCUUGUGUAGGAUAGGUGGGAGGCUUUGAAGCGUGGACGCCAGUUCGCGUGGAGCCAACCUUGAAAUACCACCCUGGCAACUUUGAGGUUCUAACUCAGGUCCGUUAUCCGGAUCGAGGACAGUGUAUGGUGGGUAGUUUGACUGGGGCGGUCUCCUCCUAAAGAGUAACGGAGGAGUACGAAGGUGCGCUCAGACCGGUCGGAAAUCGGUCGUAGAGUAUAAAGGCAAAAGCGCGCUUGACUGCGAGACAGACACGUCGAGCAGGUACGAAAGUAGGUCUUAGUGAUCCGGUGGUUCUGUAUGGAAGGGCCAUCGCUCAACGGAUAAAAGGUACUCCGGGGAUAACAGGCUGAUACCGCCCAAGAGUUCAUAUCGACGGCGGUGUUUGGCACCUCGAUGUCGGCUCAUCACAUCCUGGGGCUGAAGCCGGUCCCAAGGGUAUGGCUGUUCGCCAUUUAAAGUGGUACGCGAGCUGGGUUUAGAACGUCGUGAGACAGUUCGGUCCCUAUCUGCCGUGGACGUUUGAGAUUUGAGAGGGGCUGCUCCUAGUACGAGAGGACCGGAGUGGACGAACCUCUGGUGUUCCGGUUGUCACGCCAGUGGCAUUGCCGGGUAGCUAUGUUCGGAAUAGAUAACCGCUGAAAGCAUCUAAGCGGGAAACUAGCCUCAAGAUGAGAUCUCACUGGGACCUUGAGUCCCCUGAAGGGCCGUCGAAGACUACGACGUUGAUAGGUUGGGUGUGUAAGCGCUGUGAGGCGUUGAGCUAACCAAUACUAAUUGCCCGUGAGGCUUGACCGA